UUCCCCCGGUCUCGUUCAAUUUGAGAUUCCGAGUCAUUUCUCUCGAAUAAUAAGAUGUUGUACAAGGAUGCAGGCCCCCUUGGGGGAUCAUGGUUAUCUGAAAAGCCAAUCGAGAGGACAUUGUGUGACUCU
This is a non-coding RNA of Caenorhabditis elegans, 132 nucleotides long. NCBI's taxonomy places the organism in Eukaryota, Metazoa, Nematoda, Chromadorea, Rhabditida, Rhabditidae. The record is from Ensembl.